Molecule: non-coding RNA, 114 nt
Organism: Acanthosepion pharaonis
Lineage: Eukaryota; Metazoa; Mollusca; Cephalopoda; Sepiida; Sepiidae
Source: the annotation of a GenBank genome assembly
GGCCACAUCACGUUGAAACACCGGUUCCCGUACGAUCACCGAAGUUAAACAACAUUGAGCAUGGCCAGUACCGAGAUGGGCGACUUCUUGGUUGGGAAUACCAGGUGCUGUAAG